This 275-nucleotide transfer-messenger RNA is filed under the name bovine gut metagenome. It matches the Rfam family "transfer-messenger RNA", at positions 69 to 372 of the family's 374-position model. Rfam says of the family: Bacterial tmRNA, also known as 10Sa RNA or SsrA, is named for its dual tRNA and mRNA-like properties. Its role is to liberate the mRNA from a stalled ribosome. The record is from RNAcentral.
UUAAAAUAGGGCCAAAAAAAUAACUAACGACAAUCAAGUCGCUUGGGCUAACGCUUAGUCCACUGCCUCUUUUCUGUUUCCUGUGCGGGAAAGAACGGCGGUCAAACCACAGGAUGCCACAAGCGGGGCGCGGUUCGUCCCCCUUGUUUAAGACUAACGGACCAAACGAGCAGCGUGCUUCCUUGCGCUUAGCUGCCCGUACUUAGCAAGGAUAAACUUGUAGUGCCCGAUAGGAAAAGAUGUUCGGACGGGGGUGCGAAUCCCCCCACCUCCAC